ACUCCUACGGGAGGCAGCAGUGGGGAAUCUUGGACAAUGGGGGCAACCCUGAUCCAGCCAUGCCGCGUGAGUGAUGAAGGCCCUAGGGUCGUAAAGCUCUUUCGCCUGUGAUGAUAAUGACAGUAGCAGGUAAAGAAACCCCGGCUAACUCCGUGCCAGCAGCCGCGGUAAUACGGAGGGGUUAGCGUUGUUCGGAAUUACUGGGGCGUAAAGCGCGCGUAGGCGGAUUGGAAAGUUGGGGGUGAAAUCCCGGGGGCUCAACCCCGGAACUGCCUCCAAAACUCCCAGUCUUGAGUUCGAGAGAGGUGAGUGGAAUUCCGAGUGUAGAGGUGAAAUUCGUAGAUAUUCGGAGGAACACCAGUGGCGAAGGCGGCUCACUGGCUCGAUACUGACGCUGAGGUGCGAAAGUGUGGGGAGCAAACAGGAUUAGAUACCCUGGUAGGAUAGCG
RNAcentral lists this ribosomal RNA (449 nucleotides) under uncultured bacterium. RNAcentral's name for it is "bacterial SSU rRNA". It matches the Rfam family "Bacterial small subunit ribosomal RNA", at positions 335 to 799 of the family's 1533-position model. The record is from RNAcentral.